This 479-nucleotide long non-coding RNA is filed under the name Sorghum bicolor (sorghum). RNAcentral describes it as "long non-coding RNA (SBIC_LNC002736)". Lineage: Eukaryota; Viridiplantae; Streptophyta; Magnoliopsida; Poales; Poaceae. The record is from RNAcentral.
ACCUUGGUAAGGAUGAUCUACUACUCAGUUGGGGAGGCUCACGGAAUCUAGACACCAUAGAGGAUGUUCGACCCGCACCUAUAAACCCUAUCGAUCCUGCUAACGGGAUAUGGGCUACAAAGGUAACUCGGAAAUGUCACGUUCCUUGCUACUACCACGGUCCACCUAGACAGGGGAUAUCUAUGAGUAUCCUAGCCCAAACACCACGUUUAUGCUAGAGAUGAUUACUCUAAACUCUACGCGAAGAGAUCAAAGUAAACUCAUAAACCAAAGAACAAUAAAACAAAGAACUUACUAGAAUUUAGAAGUCGACAUACUGAAGAAUCCUAGGAGCAAGCCUCGGGUUAAGAGACUUGAUCCCGCAGGUACAACCUCGGAGUAGACACCGACAGGCCGGGCUUCCUCCGAUCUACACCUCCACUCUAUCUCUCUCAAUCUAGUAGAACUAAGUCUACUCUCACAUUGGAUGCUAAGCCCUA